GAUGAACGCUGGCGGCGUGCCUAAUACAUGCAAGUCGAGCGAACAGACGAGGAUCUUGCUCCUCUGACGUUAGCGGCGGACGGGUGAGUAACACGUGGAUAACCUACAUAUAAGACUGGGAUAACUUCGGGAAACCGGAGCUAAUACCGGAUAAUAUAUUGAACCGCAUGGUUCAAUAGUGAAAGACGGUUUUGCUGUCACUUAUAGAUGGAUCCGCGCCGCAUUAGCUAGUUGGUAAGGUAACGGCUUACCAAGGCAACGAUGCGUAGCCGACCUGAGAGGGUGAUCGGCCACACUGGAACUGAGACACGGUCCAGACUCCUACGGGAGGCAGCAGUAGGGAAUCUUCCGCAAUGGGCGAAAGCUUGACGGAGCAACGCCGCGUGAGUGAAGAAGGUCUUCGGAUCGUAAAACUCUGUUAUUAGGGAAGAACAAAAGUGUAAGUAACUAUGGCCGUCUUGACGGUACCUAAUCAAAAAGCCCCGGCUAACUACGUG
This 497-nucleotide ribosomal RNA is filed under the name uncultured bacterium. Its description in RNAcentral is "partial 16S ribosomal RNA". It matches the Rfam family "Bacterial small subunit ribosomal RNA", at positions 28 to 507 of the family's 1533-position model. The record is from RNAcentral.